AGCGAGUGUAGCUGAACUGAAAGAAAACAGUUCCCCCAUGAUGCCGCUCUCAACAAGUUUUGGGGAGGAUUAUGCUGAACGUACGAUGGCUCCAAAAUUCUGCAUCUUACGCUAAAACAAUCUAGAUGUCUGAAAAGCACUACAGGUAAGUGGGAAAAUGAGUCACACCUGCACCAGAUAGGUGUGUGUGUGUGUUUGUGUGUCUGAGGGUGUGAUUGUCCCGCGAAAUGAGAAAAAGAGCAUUUCCAUAUAUCCGGACAAACAGGAUCUGCCGUGGAGCUCCUGCUUAAUCAAACCGGUGACUCAUCUUUUCAUCGAUGCGCCGCGUCGCGCUGAAGACAGAGCUGAACUCCGUGUGUGCAGAAACAAACAAAGGAACAGACUUUUUUCUCUCCUGAGAUGAGAGGAGUUGGGAGAAUCUACCGAGGUCCUCUUUGAAGAUCAGCACUGACGUACGAAAGUAUAAAUAAAAUGUGUCUUCAAAAGAUGAAAACUCGAGACCGCAUCAGUUUGGCAGCAUGUUUCAGAGUCGGCUGACACCGUUUCUGGAGCUAAAAUAAACACCGCACACGGAGUCAAUAUUUGCACCAGAUCCUUCAUGUCCUGCACUGUCGACCACAUCUUUCUGACAGGUUCGAACGCCCCGCAGCCACCCUCUGUGUUAUAAUAGGCAGGUUUGCUAUGGGUGGGGCGAUGUCGCCUUGUGUGCUAUUGGGUUUUUUUUUUUUUCCUUUUCUUUUUCGGCUGCAUGUGAAUGUUCCCCCGUCCCUGUCAACACUCUGAAAGUCAAUCCUCCCUCCGGCGCUGUCAAGUGACACCGGCGGCGGCCAUGUGUCACUCAGGGGCCUUAUUUAAUCACGUCCUCGCUGUUGUUCAGUGGCAGUUAGGCAUCAUGUUAAUAAUUCAGCGGCGUAAUAACCUAAAUUAGCAGAUUUGUAUCUUCUCUCCUGUUCAGAAACUUGUUGCCUUUAUCGAAGCCGUGUCUGCUCGCGCGGGUGAACCCGAUAAGCUUCAGAAGGUCAACAAGAGACCAAAAGAGCGAGGGGUGUUAAUCCUCGAUCUCAAGAAAACACCUCUCCAUCUCCAUCUCAUCUCCAUUAUGUGGAAAUAAUAUGAUAGAGAGCCCCAGGUCAUCGGACUACCUCCUCCAGAUGAAUAAGACGAAUCAUCUUUUCAUUACGGGCGUGAAAAGGGGAGAAAAGGAGUGAGGAGGGAGUGGAGGAGGAAAUGAGAAAGAAUAGAAUAUGAAGAUGGAUGUUUCACUCAGAGGAGAGGGAGAAGUUGGCCCCGCAGGUCAGCGGCUUUCAUCAGUUUAAUGUCUCAGCUGGUGUACAGUGUGUAAUUAGAGGACAAUACAAAGUGGAUUAUUAAUGUUUGAUAUGUGUUAGUCUUUAUUUUUCAUUACAACAAUAAAAACACAACAGAAUGUGUGAAUAACAAAAUUAUUUUUAAAAAUAAAAAUGAGGCACAAUGACAUGACAUUCACAAACGCCGGAGGGGGACAAAAAAAAUGAUCACAAAGGUUUGGGAAAGUGAUAUAUUUCGAUGAUUACGCACGACCUUGGAUGAUUUGUAUCGCACUUCCGCAAAGUCGCAGGACUCAUGAGAGACUGAUUAAAAAAAGGUGAUCAAAAUCAAGGUAGCAAAGGGUGAGAUAUGCCGACUGUAAAUCUUUAAUUUGGGUCAAACUCCAAAAAAAACACUGGAUCCUACAUCUCCCACAAUGCAGCAGAUGCAUGUUUUCAUAAGGCAGUCUCUGCAAAAAGGGAUGCACGAUGUGUAUCGAGCCAAGAAAUCAGCACGGAUAAACGAGUACCCUGAUGAUGGGAAAUGUUUAUCAUCUGCAAUAAUUUUGUUAAAAAAUAUAAAUAGAUGAUAACACAAAGCCGAUACAGUAGGUGCGGGUGUGCACCUUUUAAAGGACAAAUUAAAAAAUAUAUUAAAUCAAAUUCAUGUAAAUUUUCAUUCUUGGGUGAACUUUUUCCUUUAAAAGUUGCUUUCCCUGAUAAACACAGAGGGAGAAGAAGAAGCUGCUGUCGCGCUCAUGACAUUUAAACUGCUGCACAGGGAAGAAGAUCUGCCGAGUGUCGACCACGUGGAUGUUUUUCUACAGUUUCUGAGGAAGACGACAUGAUUUCAAUCUGCACGAUACGUUUCACAGGAGUUCUGUGGGGGGGGGGGGGGGGGGGGGGGGAAUCCGCCGGCUUU
Molecule: long non-coding RNA, 2208 nt
Organism: Acanthopagrus latus (yellowfin seabream)
Lineage: Eukaryota; Metazoa; Chordata; Actinopteri; Spariformes; Sparidae
Exons: 3
Source: RefSeq, a predicted model, not a curated record